Poecilia reticulata (guppy) is the source of this 566-nucleotide non-coding RNA. Lineage: Eukaryota; Metazoa; Chordata; Actinopteri; Cyprinodontiformes; Poeciliidae. The record is from RefSeq and is a predicted model, not a curated record.
GUGUGUAGGAGGGACGUCGCGGGCCAGUGGGAUGCUCCUCCAUUACAAACCGAUGGGCUCCCAGGAUGCCCAGCAGCUACAGAUGGAGGCUGCAGAAGACAAGAAGGUGGCAUCGCUGUGGCUCGCUGCAAUGCACAAGGCGGCCAAGCUGCUGCACGAAGCUCGAGACCAGUGACAGCCAGGGGGAACGGAGGCAGCACACACCCAAGUGUUUUCCAGCCGAGUCGGAUUCAGAUCGGGUUUGCUCUCAUCACCGCAGAUUCACUUUAUCCAUCUGAUCUCUUAUCGGUUCUUUAUGCCAGCUCGUCAUUGUCUUUUUUUUUUUUUUUUAUUUCACCCCCCCGUCCCCAAGAAAUCUUUCUAAAAGGAGAAAAAGAGCACUGCACUCACCUCUAUAAGCAAUACUCUGUACAUGUGCGUUUUCUUUCCUUUCAACGCUCCAGUCUGGUUUCACUCACUAACUGGGCCGUGCAGAUUAAACAUUUUUACAGAGCGUCGAGGCUUGCUGAUGUUGGAGGCUUUAAUAUUAAUUCAGAAAUGUUGCUCUGUAUUCUUAUGAAGGUUGU